Molecule: ribosomal RNA, 484 nt
Filed under: uncultured bacterium
Lineage: Bacteria
Description: partial 16S ribosomal RNA
Rfam family: Bacterial small subunit ribosomal RNA
Source: RNAcentral
AUUGAACGCUGGCGGCAGGCCUAACACAUGCAAGUCGAGCGGAUGAAGGGAGCUUGCUCCUGGAUUCAGCGGCGGACGGGUGAGUAAUGCCUAGGAAUCUGCCUGGUAGUGGGGGAUAACGUCCGGAAACGGGCGCUAAUACCGCAUACGUCCUGAGGGAGAAAGUGGGGGAUCUUCGGACCUCACGCUAUCAGAUGGGCCUAGGUCGGAUUAGCUAGUUGGUGGGGUAAAGGCCUACCAAGGCGACGAUCCGUAACUGGUCUGAGAGGAUGAUCAGUCACACUGGAACUGAGACACGGUCCAGACUCCUACGGGAGGCAGCAGUGGGGAAUAUUGGACAAUGGGCGAAAGCCUGAUCCAGCCAUGCCGCGUGUGUGGAGAAGGUCUUCGGAUUGUAAAGCACUUUAAGUUGGGAGGAAGGGCAGUAAGUUAAUACCUUGCUGUUUUGACGUUACCAACAGAAUAAGCACCGGCUAACUUCGUG